GACUCCCCAAAGCAGCCAAUACUCUGGACAGGUCUCCCGGCCUCAAAGUGUUUCCUACAGCCUGACUCCCCAAAGCAGCCAAUACUCUGGCCAGGU
Molecule: long non-coding RNA, 96 nt
Organism: Pezoporus flaviventris
Lineage: Eukaryota; Metazoa; Chordata; Aves; Psittaciformes; Psittacidae
Exons: 3
Source: RefSeq, a predicted model, not a curated record